AAAAAUAAAUAACCGAUUGAGCAUUAGAAUCAAAGUUUUGCCUAUGAAAAAGUAUCAAUGGUUAUGUUAUACAUGUAUGCAAAGUUAUCGUUUAUGGAUACAUGAUAUUUCUAAUUUAAUAUUGCAUUAUUUUGGAUCGAAUAAAGGUCUUAAUAUGUUGGUUUCUUCCGCAUUAUCACCGACCUUAGUAUAAAUCCGUGGCAUUAUUAAUGCUAAAUGCUUUAUUACACCAACGGUAUCUAGGCAUAUCUUAUAAAUUGUUUUGUACAUUUAUGUCAUAUACUGUCUUGCCAUAUUAUAAUGCAUUGUAUAUCCUCAUGGGCUAUAUAGCCUUAUGGAAUAUUCAAAAUAAACUUAUCAAACUUAAAACUUAUCAAACUUAUCAUAUCACGCGUUUUCAAAACAGCCAAUGAGUUUAAAGCGUUGGUUUUGUAUCACGUGAAUCCUAUCAACCAAUCAGAAAUAGCGCGGGCGAAAUGAAAAAAAGAAAAAACGGGAUUGGAAAUGGAUAGCAAAUAAAAUUCAGAAUAUUGCAAAACAAGGACAGUUAAAUCUUCUAGAAAUGCAGCUGUGCCAUCUUUACAGCAAUUGUAGAUGAAGCAAAGUAUGGUAGCAAGUUAUAUAGAUAUACACACAUGCCGAAGAAGAUUGUAAUAUCUGGAGAUAACAUUUCCUACGUCACGAAAUAGACAACGUCACACUGGUCUACGUAACAUUCCUAUUGAUGAUUGAUAUAUUUAAGUGCUUUUAAGAACUGUGUUUGAAUGACGAAUUUCUGUGAAUACGGAUUUUUAAUUUUAAUGAUUAUUAUUUAAACUUUCUGUAAUAAUCAAUUUGUGCUAUGGACUCAUUUUCCUAAAAUAAUAUGUAAAUGUUAACACGAACAAAUGAUAUGAAUAUCUUCAAAAUAUUUUAUGGGUGUAAUACAAGUGGCUCAUAAAAAUCAUUGUUAAGAUAAAUAGAAUCGAACUUCAAGUUGGUAUAGUUUGUUCUAGAUUUAAACAACAUGCAAUUCAUACGGCUUGAAAAUGUCGAAACAUGUAUGAAAAUAUCGAAACAUGUACAUGUAUAACUCGAUCUCUAAAGAAAAUAUCGCAGUGCGGAUUUUCUCCACUGUGAUACGUAUUUCAUGACUCUGUAUCGCAUCAUACCGGUAUAUAGCCGUUCCGUUGCAACGCUACAUGAAUUUGUGCCUCCGAAAUAAGGCUUGCAACAAUAUAAUUAUGACUGUUGUAGCGAAGACAUGUUUAUUUUGUUUAAUAUAUGUAUACAUAUUGAAUAUAUGUUUAUGAAAUAAUAAAUAUUUAAGAGUGAUUCGAUUUGGUUUUAACUUUAUUAUUUGAAAUACUCCAUUUGUGAAGAUAAAGUUCUUAAGCAUAUGACUUUACAGUUCCCAUUCAAAAUGUGUAAUAAAACAUGUUCUGUUGUACAAGUCUGAAUUUCGGUCAUGUAUACGUGUCACUUAUAUGUAAAUGCAUGCUUUUGAUAUUAUCUGCAUCUUCUUUUAUCAAGAAAAUACAGUUCCAACUUCUGUAUUCCCUGUGGACAACUAAAAAAUGCAAUUCCGUAUAUCCCCUGUAUAUAUUGAAAAUACAAUUCCGUA
Ruditapes philippinarum (Manila clam) is the source of this 1603-nucleotide long non-coding RNA. RefSeq lists it as uncharacterized. NCBI's taxonomy places the organism in Eukaryota, Metazoa, Mollusca, Bivalvia, Venerida, Veneridae. The transcript has 3 exons. The record is from RefSeq and is a predicted model, not a curated record.